GACGAACGCUGGCGGCGUGCCUGACACAUGCAAGUCGGACGGUUCUUGUAUCUUCAAGCUUGCUUGCAGGUGCAAGGAUAGUGGCGGACGGGUGAGUAACGCGUGAACAUCUACCCAUUGGAGGGGGACAACCCGUCGAAAGGCGGGCUAAUACCGCGUAAGCCGCGAGGUGAGAGGCUGCCUAUUGGUGGCCGCCGAUGGAUGGGUUCGCGUCCUAUCAGCUGGUUGGUGGGGUAACGGCCUACCAAGGCGAAGACGGGUAGCCGGUCUGAGAGGAUGGCCGGCCACACUGGAACUGAGACACGGUCCAGACUCCUACGGGAGGCAGCAGUGGGGAAUAUUGGGCAAUGGGGGAGACCCUGACCCAGCGACGCCGCGUGAGGGAUGAAGGUUUUCGGAUCGUAAACCUCUGUUGUACGGGAAGAAGGAUGUGACGGUACCGUACGGGAAAGCCCCGGCAAACUACGUG
This 469-nucleotide ribosomal RNA is filed under the name uncultured bacterium. RNAcentral describes it as "bacterial SSU rRNA". It matches the Rfam family "Bacterial small subunit ribosomal RNA", at positions 28 to 507 of the family's 1533-position model. The record is from RNAcentral.